UGCUUCCGCGGCGAGAGCG
RNAcentral lists this non-coding RNA (19 nucleotides) under Arabidopsis thaliana (thale cress). Lineage: Eukaryota; Viridiplantae; Streptophyta; Magnoliopsida; Brassicales; Brassicaceae. The record is from RNAcentral.